Molecule: long non-coding RNA, 4202 nt
Organism: Eptatretus burgeri (inshore hagfish)
Lineage: Eukaryota; Metazoa; Chordata; Myxini; Myxiniformes; Myxinidae
Source: Ensembl
GGGUGUUCAAAAGUUCUGCCAUAUUUAUCAAUGUAAUAGAUAUUUUAAUGGGAAUAUGGACUGACACACCCUACUGUUUGCAGAGAGAGAGUCAAGAGGUACCCUCAGUUGAUGAGACUGUUCCACGAAUUAGACCAGUAGAUGGGUUCUCUGUGAGCAGCAUGGAGAUUGGUGGGAUUUGCCGUCGCCUCAUCAAUAUAGAAAGAACGAGCAGCUUACAAUCUGACAGCAGUGGCUUUGCUGAAGAUCCAUGCUCACAGGAUGGAGUUCUGAGCUCACAAUGUAUGGGCAGCAGCGUGGACAGCAGUGACAGCCAGCACACUCUCAGUGAUUCACAGUCGAGAGUAUUAUUCCGACCCACAUCUCCAGAGCCUAAUCCAUCACAGCCUAUAUAUUUGCCAUCGAUCUCUACGCCGAACCAAAACCAUCCUGUAAGUUCUCCCCAGCAAGAAGAUUGCACACCAGUAGAAUUGUCUGUGGUCAAAUCCACCAGCGAAACCGAAUACCCUCCAAAGGGUACAGCGGACAGCAGGAUCGCCAAAAAUAUGCCCAUUCCAUCAUCGAACCAUCUGGGCAUCUAUGCUUCGAUCACUUCCACAUCCUACAUUCCCACCUCUGUGCGAGAAAAAAUAGCGAAAGCUUUUGAUAGGGCCACUCAACAAGAUGGGAACCAGCAUCAUGCACCUUGUGAGAAUGGAGUAAACAUAACAAUCGACCCGACAACCCACACUUUUGAAAAUGUACGACAAACCAACACAAACUUUACCCAUCCUUUAGGCCUCGAUGCGAACCUACCAUCUAAUCCUGUUCUUCAGCAUACUAAUGGAAGGAGUAUCCAGUACCUUGGAGGAUGCCCCAUCUCAGUGUGCCGUGAUGAAAGGCAAAUUUGAGAAGAAUCUUCAGCAUCCCAUACAUGGAACUGUGGUCUCUGAUGUUCCACAAUAUGGCAAAAACAUGCCUGACAAUGAGAGAGAUUAUUCACAUUUGCAUGCACAUGGGGCCCAGCAACACAAAGAACUGCACACCUACAAGACACAACUUUUUGUCGAGCUUCAAAAACCAAAAAUGGCUGCAAGCAAAGUGCCCAGUUGCACUUCCUACCAUCGCCAUUGCUGCUGUCACUGCCACAGCUGCAGUUAUUGUUGUGAUGAUUAUUGGCGAGUUGAUGACAAUGAGAAUCACCGCAUGGGAAGAGUUGCACCACCACGUGUCUCUGUUGACUGUGUUGAGGAGCAGCCAUCAGGCCGACACGAUGUCCAUGCCUUUGAUGGCCUCAAAAAAUCUAAAGUGCAUCAUAGAACAAAUAACGGUGCUCGGUGCUCGGUGGAAUCGCAACCGGGGAAUGUUUCUCCAACAGUCAGUGACGUCAUGCAGAACAUCCAGAAAACUAUUGGAAGGGUCAACCUGUCUAUGGGAUUGCUCUCUGAGGUUGUGCAGUGUGAACCAGAUAGUGCAAGAUCACGAAGAGUCAUGAACUUGGAGCUUGCACUGAGUGACACAAUGAGUGCUAUCGAGAGUGCUCACAUCCUACAAGUCGAACUGAGUGGCAUGCAGGCCCAUAUGGAGCAACAGGAAGAGUCAGCCAUACCUCUGCUGGGCAGUGAGGAAUUCAAGGAACUGGCACUUCUACGUGAGCUUGUACGGAGAGAGCUACAUGAGGUCCAGAUGGCGAUGCAGGAACGGACAUCGAUCUUGCAGUUCCACUUUCAGGAGCACAAGGAUGGAAGAGGGUUUCGAGGCCCCGAUUCGGAGGAGAACACCAAGAGUUUAAACCUGCAGCAGUUGAUUCUUGAGCUGCUUGCAAAGCAGCUCAGCCUGAAAUCGGAACUGCUGAGUUCAGGACCUGGCACUGGGUUCAGACCGAUCAGUGAUGAAACGAAUGGAACGGCUGGCUUUGAGGAUCAGGACAGAACAAGGCAAUGCAAUUUCGAAUCUCUGUCAAUGAGGAGGUCCCCAGCUCGCAUUAAAAGAUGGCGGCAGUCAUGGAGGCCAUGUGACCUAACCACUGCUUCUGAUGAUGAAUUAUUUGAAGGGAUGCACUGGCAUUAUGUUCAAUCUGAACCAAUGAAGAAGGUGGAACAAACACACCGUGCUCGGAAAGACCAGACCGUGAGGUCUUUUGAAGUGGCUCAACAAAUCUCACAUGAAGAGGAAUCCUUCCACAGUUUGAAGUCCAACGUAGUGUCUGAUAACGAGAGGUUGAGCACAGAGGAAGAGUUUGUGUCUUUUUCUGAACUGCUGAAAAUUCUUGAGAAGUUCAAGUGUUCUUUGGCGGAAGAAAUUCACCAGUCGAUUCUGGAAGAUGUUUUACGAGUCUCUGGAUCUGUUGGUCCCUUUGGCUCGGGCUCUACGUUUGCUGCCACACAUCAUGGGAUGCGUUCGUGAACAUCUUCCACAGGGCUCUGAUUGCCGGAGACUAUAUUCCUUCAAUAUAUACGUGGGUGUCAAGACUCGUUGAAAACAACAAGCUGAAUUGGUGUCCAGCAGGAUGGUGCAGAGAAGCUGCAUAAUCUUGAUUUGAUUGCUGACCCGACUAUAAACUGUUUCACAGGCAAAUCGUUGGAUCAAUGAGUAGGCCAUCAGUUAGAUAGGAUGUUAAUUCAGGGACUCAUCUGCUAUCAGUGGUUGCUGGAGACAGAGAUACCAAGGUGACUUUCGAUGAAGAUUUUGGUGAAUCAUCGCCGGAAUGCUGAACAAAUUCCACAAUCCUGCCAUGACCAGUUGUGGGGCUGCGUGCCAGUCACCCUCUAAUGGUGGCUCUUGAGGCACUUUCAGUUGGGUUGAAGGUCUGGCAAUGUACCUGGAUAUGAUAUUGCUCUGUAUGUGAUUGUUCCACCUUGAUACUUCAACAGACUGAACUGGUCUGGCUCAGAAAUGAUACCCUCCCUCUUUUUGUUUCUCCUCUUAUUCUCAUUUUUCUCAAUUUUAGUUCCCACACUCCCCAAACUGUCUACUUCUCUUAAUGGUCCCAAUUAUCCACACUUUCUCGUGGAGUUGGCCAGAAAACGUUUUUGGCCUACGUCUUUCACCAACCAGAUGCCCAGAUCAAACGUUCAAAUGAAAGUAAUUUUGGCAGGAAUUUGUGAUUUGUUCAGGGUGCUGGAGAUAACUCACCGACUCAUCACGAAAGAUGCUGUUACCUUUAAUGUACACCAACUAGUACUAGCAGAAGGGACACCCAUCUUCAUUUCCAUCCACGGUACAGCAUUCUUUGUGAUACAACCCUCUCCUCCUCCACCUCCUAUCCUUCAUGUGCAGUACACUGCUGCGGGUAGCAUCAUUGGCUGAGGGCGUGACCGUUCCACUGACGCAAUGCCUCUGUUACCAGUACACUGGUACUCGUUUUGUUGACCUUGGAAGGGUGACAGACCAAGUCAACCCUACUUGGUGUUAGUUCAACAGCCCGACAGGGGCUUUAACCCAAGAGCUGAGGAACUUAAGCCAGCCACCUAACCAUUAAACCAACAUCCAAGACCCAGGGAUCUUAAGCCAGCCACCUCACCAUUAAGCCAACACCAGGCUUUGAUAUGUUUGACUGUGAAGCACGAAUCUGACCGUUUCGAAUGGGGUCAGGAAUGAAACCCCGACUGUAUAUGUCAAUGCGAAGUGCACAAUCUCUGCACCAUCCUGUCGGACGAGAUGACCUCAUACACAAAAUUGUUUACUCAAUGUCUGUGAUUCCUAAAGCUUACCUUUCCACACCUUUACAGGUAUUACCCUAAAUGUGCUGAUGAAUCAAAUAUUUGCACCACAUUCCAAGAAUACGAGGUCUGGGUGUGGCUUGUCAAUCAGGAUUGUUCUUGUCGUCAUGGAGAUCGUUUUGAAAUUUGCAUGUAGAUAAUAUAUGAAGUGGCGAAUAGGAAAUGACGAUUAUACAAUUCAGUUAGUAAAUGGUGAAUGUAUUGAUGAUAUUGAACGAUAAUUUUGUGCUGGUGUGGAAAGAGUUGAGAUUUGCAAAUAAUGGAGGCCUUCUGAAAAAAAAAAAACAGGGUUUCUUCAUUUAGCCAAAGACAGUAUUUUGUUACCAAACUCUGACCUUGUACAUGCCUGAUGAAUAAUAGUCAGGAUUUUAUUUUAUUAUCCUGAGUGUUUACCUCGUUUUUGCGAGAAAUAGUCCUUUAAAAUUGCUUCACUAAUUCUGCAAUGAAGUCUUCAAUCCCCUUAUUUUUAACAAACCAAAAAUGGAAAUAAAAGUAUUAUUU